RNAcentral lists this ribosomal RNA (449 nucleotides) under uncultured bacterium. RNAcentral describes it as "bacterial SSU rRNA". It matches the Rfam family "Bacterial small subunit ribosomal RNA", at positions 328 to 794 of the family's 1533-position model. The record is from RNAcentral.
UGUCCAGACUCCUACGGGAGGCAGCAGUGGGGAAUAUUGCACAAUGGGGGAAACCCUGAUGCAGCGACGCCGCGUGAGCGAGGAAGUACCUCGGUAUGUAAAGCUCUAUCAGCAGGGAAGAAAGUGACAGUACCUGACUAAGAAGCCCCGGCUAACUACGUGCCAGCAGCCGCGGUAAUACGUAGGGGGCAAGCGUUAUCCGGAUUCACUGGGCGUAAAGGGAGCGCAGGCGGCACGGCAAGUCUGGUGUGAAAGCCCGGGGCCCAACCCCGGGACUGCAUUGGAAACUGCCGGGCUGGAGUGCCGGAGGGGCAAGCGGAAUUCCUGGUGUAGCGGUGAAAUGCGCAGAUAUCAGGAAGAACACCGGUGGCGCAGGCGGCUUGCUGGACGGCAACUGACGCUGAGGCUCGAAAGCGUGGGGAGCAAACAGGAUUAGAUACCCGGGUAUA